RNAcentral lists this transfer RNA (85 nucleotides) under Eubacteriales bacterium. RNAcentral describes it as "tRNA-Leu". It matches the Rfam family "tRNA". From Rfam's summary of the family: Transfer RNA (tRNA) molecules are approximately 80 nucleotides in length. Their secondary structure includes four short double-helical elements and three loops (D, anti-codon, and T loops). Lineage: Bacteria; Bacillati; Bacillota; Clostridia; Eubacteriales. The record is from RNAcentral.
GCGACCGUGGCGGAACUGGCAGACGUGCAUGCUUGAGGUGCAUGUGGUUAACACCGUGCGAGUUCGAGUCUCGCCGGUCGCACCA